Molecule: small RNA, 28 nt
Filed under: Bombyx mori (domestic silkworm)
Lineage: Eukaryota; Metazoa; Arthropoda; Insecta; Lepidoptera; Bombycidae
Description: ovarian small RNA-9115
Source: RNAcentral
UGUGUACAGAAGCGAGCGAAUUAGGCUC